CGACGAUAGAAAAUAGCAGAAGUUGUCAGAGAUGCGCACACCCCUCGUCACGCGCCUCUUGGCUAGCAAGUUGUGUAGAACUUUGCUCGAGGACAUUCCGGCAACCAUCUGUUUCCGGAAGAACUCUGAGCGCAGGGCAGGAAGCAGAGUUCGCAAAUUUGCGGGGAAAGGUGGUUGUCUGCCAAUACGCCUGUUACUGUGAAAAUGCUCCGUUUGAUUUAUUUUCUCUCUCCACUCAACUUUUCUAAAGACUUAACAGGAGAGAUCAAAAACAUGCAUAUUUGAGCGAGACAGAGACAGACAGAGAGAGCGAGAGAAACAUAGAGAGAGAGAGAUGGCUAGAGGAAGAUUGAGCAAGAUGGAAGGAAGAGAGACCAGGGAAAGUACAGGCAAGGACACCUACCUUUUGUCAUUGACCCCUGACCUGUGUGUCUGGGCAUUGACUGUCUCUUCUCCCCUCAUGUCACUGGAGCUCCCUGUCAAUACUUACCUGGUUUAGACACCAUCCCUCAGCGCUGUGGUCAGAGAGUGGGGGAGACCAGAUGCACUGGAGCACCAGGAGAGGAAGAGGAGGAAGGUGGAGGGAGAGAGGGGGAGGGAGAAACAUAGAGAUGGGGAGCAGUGAAAGGGAUCAAGAUCGAGCAUGUUUAAAAAAAAGGGGUGAAAAUGAGAGCGAGAGAAGUUU
Molecule: long non-coding RNA, 685 nt
Filed under: Salmo salar (Atlantic salmon)
Lineage: Eukaryota; Metazoa; Chordata; Actinopteri; Salmoniformes; Salmonidae
Description: lncRNA (ENSSSAG00000106512.1, ENSSSAG00020068417.1)
Source: RNAcentral